UACAGAGGGUGCGAACGUUGCUCGGAAUUAUUGGGCGUAAAGCGCAUGUAGGCGGCAUGGUAAGUUCAUCGUGAAAGCCCUUGGCUCAACCAAGGAAGUGCGGUGAAAACUGCCAAGCUAGAGUCCUGAAGAGGGUGGCGGAAUGGCCAGUGUAGAGGUGAAAUUCGUAGAUAUUGGCUAGAACACCAGUGGCGAAGGCGGCCACCUAGGAAGGUACUGACGCUGAGAUGCGAAAGCGUGGGGAGCAAACAGG
Molecule: ribosomal RNA, 253 nt
Filed under: uncultured bacterium
Lineage: Bacteria
Description: partial 16S ribosomal RNA
Rfam family: Bacterial small subunit ribosomal RNA
Source: RNAcentral